This 68-nucleotide transfer RNA is filed under the name Alcidodes juglans. Its description in RNAcentral is "tRNA-Leu". Lineage: Eukaryota; Metazoa; Arthropoda; Insecta; Coleoptera; Curculionidae. The record is from RNAcentral.
AUUAUUUUGGCAGAUUAGUGCAAUAGAUUUAGAAUCUAUUUAUGUAAUAUUUAAUAUUACAAAUAAUA